UAUAUAACCAUUACAAUAGCCCGAAACACCAGCACCAUAUACUGCUGAAGAGAAUAUUGGCUCAAAAAGAAAUAAAUCAAGUCAAAAGAAGACUUCCAAAUAGGAUACUCAAAUGUGGCAGUAAGUAGGUACCUCAACCACAAGCAUGGUAUAGUGUAAGAUGAGAGAAAUAACAAAUAAACCCCAUCAAGCAAAGUAGCUUCCUUCCUUGUAAGAACAACAGAAACAGAAGCUAACUGUGUAACACUUGAAAUGAUCAUCACAAAAAUAAACUAGCGAGUCCCCUAAUGUUUAACUGGUCAUUAAAAUUUGAGUCCCUACCAAAUAAUACAGGCUUGUUUCAAAACAGAACAAAGAAGGGGAAAAAUGAAAUUUUACAUAGUCAAAAUGCAGCAAUAGAAUAACACAAGCGUUCCCAAUGCUAUUACUCAUUAUCCUUUGCUCCAUUUACCAGAGCAAAAACAAGAGAACAA
RNAcentral lists this unclassified non-coding RNA (473 nucleotides) under Hevea brasiliensis (rubber tree). Lineage: Eukaryota; Viridiplantae; Streptophyta; Magnoliopsida; Malpighiales; Euphorbiaceae. The record is from RNAcentral.